This 434-nucleotide ribosomal RNA is filed under the name uncultured bacterium. RNAcentral describes it as "partial 16S ribosomal RNA". It matches the Rfam family "Bacterial small subunit ribosomal RNA", at positions 29 to 507 of the family's 1533-position model. The record is from RNAcentral.
AGCGAACGCUGGCGGCAGGCCUAACACAUGCAAGUCGAACGAACCUUUCGGGGUUAGUGGCGGACGGGUGAGUAACACGUGGGAACGUGCCUUUAGGUUCGGAAUAACUCAGGGAAACUUGUGCUAAUACCGAAUGUGCCCUUCGGGGGAAAGAUUAAUCGCCUUUAGAGCGGCCCGCGUCUGAUUAGCUAGUUGGUUGAGGUAAUGGCUCACCAAGGCGACGAUCAGUAGCUGGUCUGUGAGGAUGAUCAGCCACAUUGGGACUGAGACACGGCCCAAACUCCUACGGGAGGCAGCAGUGGGGAAUCUUGCGCAAGGGGCGAAAGCGUGACGCAGCCAUGCCGGGUGAAUGAUGAAGGUCUUAGGAUUGUACAAUUCUUUCACCGGGGACGAUAAUGACGGUACCCGGAGAAGAAGCCCCGGCUAACUUCGUG